Molecule: transfer RNA, 65 nt
Filed under: Halice sp. JL-2018
Lineage: Eukaryota; Metazoa; Arthropoda; Malacostraca; Amphipoda; Pardaliscidae
Description: tRNA-His
Source: RNAcentral
AUUUUAAUAGAUUAAUUAUUAAAUCAUUAUUUUGUGGAAAUAAAAACACUUUAAAGUUUAAAAUA